UACGGAGGAUGCGAGCGUUAUCCGGAUUUAUUGGGUUUAAAGGGUGCGUAGGCGGCUUAGUAAGUCAGCGGUGAAAUUUUGCAGCUUAACUGUAACAGUGCCGUUGAUACUGCCAGGCUAGGAUUUGGUUGCUGUGGGUGGAAUGUGUGGUGUAGCGGUGAAAUGCUCAGAUAUCACACAGAAUAUCGAUUGCGAAGGCAGCUCACAAAGCCAAGAUUGACGCUGAGGCACGAAAGUGUGGGGAUCAAA
RNAcentral lists this ribosomal RNA (249 nucleotides) under uncultured prokaryote. RNAcentral's name for it is "partial 16S ribosomal RNA". It matches the Rfam family "Bacterial small subunit ribosomal RNA", at positions 524 to 772 of the family's 1533-position model. The record is from RNAcentral.